UCAUGUUUAAAAAUAUCAAAAAAAUUAUUAUAACAGUAAAAUAAAAAAUAAAGAUAAAAAGAAGGAAACCAGACUAUUCUGAAAAAUUUCCUAAAAAUUUCCCGAUUCUUCUUAAUCUCAAAUCCUUAACUCUUUCUAAAGAUUGAAGAACUCGAUCAGAACUUGCAACGGAAAUCACAACGGCAAGAUUGAAGAACCCGAACAGCAGGGUCAAGGACUCACUGGUGACCGUGACGGCAAGUUUCAGACACUUUUUACUUGAAGUAUAUGGGGAUCUAGGAGACUAUAUUUUCUUAUGCGUUCAAGGCUUUAUGACACUUACAAAUAUGGCACAUGCUUUUUGUUAGACCUGAAUUUUGGAUGACGGGUAUAAAGUUGGGGAAGAGAAGGAACAAGGAAGACGAUACAAAUCCCAUGAGCUAUUUUUUAUUGGAGGAGCUAUUGGUUGCUUAAUGUGCUGUUUUGUAUUGGAGGAGUUAUGUAGUUUAUUUUGGAGAGUUAUGGAGCUAUUUUGUAUUGGGAUAGCUGUUUUUUGCUUAAUGUGCUAUUUUGUAUUGGAGAAACUAUGUAGUUUAUUAUGGACAGCUGUGGAGCUAUUUUAUAUUGGGGUAGCUAUUUUUUGCUUAAUGUGUUAUUUUAUAUUGGAGAAGCUAUGUAGUUUAUUAUGGACAGUUGUGGAGCUAUUUUGUAUUGGGGUAGCUGUUUUUUGCUUAAUGUGCUAUUUUGUAUUGGAGAAGCUAUGUAGUUUAUUAUGGACAGUUGUGGAGCUAUUUUGUAUUGGGGUAGCUGUUUUUUGCUUAAUGUGCUAUUUUGUAUUGGAGAAGCUAUGUAGUUUAUUUUGUAUUGGGAUAGCUAUUUUUUGUUUAAUGUGCUAUUUUGCAUUGGAGAA
Ziziphus jujuba (common jujube) is the source of this 889-nucleotide long non-coding RNA. RefSeq lists it as uncharacterized. The transcript is spliced from 2 exons. The record is from RefSeq and is a predicted model, not a curated record. NCBI's taxonomy places the organism in Eukaryota, Viridiplantae, Streptophyta, Magnoliopsida, Rosales, Rhamnaceae.